UUGUUAGAACUUUUUAUUGUCAGAAACCACCAGAAGACUAUAGUACUAACCCUAAUUUUCAGAAACAAUUCUCAAUCCAUUUUCAUCGUCCUAUUUAUACACAAACUUAGCAAAGAUAGCACCGAAAGAAAGCUAUGAAGAUUUAUCAAUCUCAACAUCAAAGAGGUAAGAGAAAGCUGCUUCUGAUUUCAGUAAUAGAACCAUUUCCUAAAGUUGUUUUUAUUUUAUUUCCAAGUUUCAACCAAAGGGAAACCAUCAAAAUCCAUCUUCGUACUAACAAUGAUAUAACUUAUAUUAGAUUGUUUUUGAAUUAUAUUAGUCUGCUGGAAACUCUUUUUGCUGAAAUCUUGGUUGAUAUCCUAAUUCUGUUGACAAGAAUUAGCCCCAAAUUUCACGGGAUUGGGGUUGCGAGGAAGCUUAAGAGUGUUCUCUUCUCCUUUAAGUUGCUUUCAAGUACUGUUUUGAUAUUUUGGAAUUAUUUUCAUUGCUUAGGCAUUCGCUUAUCUGUGUUCCCAGCUGCCUUAAUCAUGAUUUCCGCAGAUUCUUGUUUUAUGUAUUAAUUUGGUUUUUUUAUGUUGUCUCCUCUUGUCGUUUUGUCUUUUUGUUUUCUUGAGCCGAGUAUUUUUCGGAAACAGCCUCUCUACUCCUUUGGGUAGGGGUAAGGUCUGCGUACACACUACCCUCCCCAUACCCCAUUAGUGGGAUUAUACUGGGUUGUUAUUGUUGUAUAUAAAAACAAGUAUAUACAAGCAAACAUGCAGAAAUGCAAUUUAGUCCAUCUAUGACAUGUUAUAUGAAUGAAAGGGCAAAGAUUAACGGACUAUUGCUAAAUUAUGUUGUUUUAUGUGUAGGAGCAUCGGAAGACAACGACGAGUGAAGGUUGCAAAAAAAGAUGACGAAAAUGCAAGAAAAUAGCAAAAAAUGCCAAGUACCCAAACCGCGCUACAGACCAGGCUUCGCGAGGUCUAUAUCCAGCUUGACCGCGCUACAGACCAGGCUUCGCGAGGUCUAUAGCCAGGUUGACCACGAUCGCGGGUUAAAAGUCUCCAACCCGAAUUUGGACUCAAGGACUUCAACUCUAGCCUAUAAAUACUCCUUAAACAUGUCUAAGAGAAUAGGAGGACGUUUUUAGUGCAAAUUCGACCUAAAGAAGACGCUUUUGGAGAGAGGAUUCGACUUAAGGAGGUAAGAACACGCUAGGAGCAAGGCUAAGAAUUCUUCUACGAGUUUUUCACUUCCUUCUUCCUAUUUCCAUUAUUGGUUAUGAUCAAUUCUAGUAUUAUACUUUAGCAUACUAUUAUGAAUAGCUAAUUUGUUAUCUAGGGUUUUGAUGGAACCUUUUGUGGGAUGGAUUCUUAUUACGUUUUUAUAUAAUUGAGUCGUUGGAUUUCUCUUCUUGUUCAACUACGUGUUUAUUGAUGUUGAUUGAAUGGCCAUCAAUUGACUGUGCCUAUUUAAUGUAUAUAUUUCUCGAGAGAGAGUACACAUUUAGGUAGUCGUUGAACAACAUCACUCCUAACGUAUAUGAGAGAUCAAUACGAAAAGUUUAAAGGCGGGAUUAGAGAUAAUGAAACAUUAGUGCGGUCGUAGUGAGCGGUGAGUUAGUGACAACUAGCGUAGUUCGAGAGAAUAUGUCUAGUAAAUUGUGGUAGUUGCUCGAAAGAGAAUUACGACACCCGAAGUACUCACGAUCGGUAGAGAAUACUUAGGAGAAAUUAUAGAAGACGUAGCGGGAAGGAUUCCGACAAUUGGGGAAAUCAUAACUCUAGACCUCCUUAAUCUAUUCUGCAACCCUUAUUAUCUUUAGUUGUUAAUAUACUAGUUUAAUUUAUUAGUUAAUUAGAUGUAAGAAUCUUAAUAUUUAUAACUUAGAAAUUGUUCGAGCUUGUCUUGUUAGUGAUAGUUAACAGUUCUAGCUAAACCUUAGUUCUAUGUGGGAUUCGACUUCGGACUUCGGACUUUUAGACCGGAUUAUAUUUGCAGCGACCGCUUAUCCAUUUUAGGACUAGAGUUGGGCGUGAUCACUUACUUUUGUUAAUGACUUUGCAGAUCAGUUUACUGCUCCAUAGGCACACGAUUUUGUUGUUCUUGCCUCAUUUUCAAAACCUAAAAGAAUUCCAACUUUGUGGCAUCCAGAAAAGGUUCAUGCAAUCCCACUAAGUCAACUUUGUGUAUUCUAACUAGUCUUUCACUUGCACCUUGUGAUCUCAUCCCCCUUAUAUUCCAAUUGAUGAUGUUAAUCAUUAAAACAAAUUGGGUUUUGCUUAGCACCUUCAGUUUUGUUGGUAUUGUCGGGCUUGGCUGGCCCUCCCUUAUCUUCUUGAAUGUUAAACUAAAAUGAAAAAAUUAUAUGUUCUUCUACAUACUCGCCUUGUCAUGAUACAUUCUUUAUUGAGAUACACGUAGUAGAAUUUGAUAAAACCUAAAACAUCUUCCUAAGAAGUUCUGAGAUGGUAUGAAUUAUCAUAAUAUAAUGGCACCAUUAAAUUAAAGCAUCAUCCUUAUAUGCAACAGCUAUUUCGAAAAUCAAGAAAACAAGAAACUAAAACUCACCUUAUAAUUGUACAGUCAAGGCAAAUAAACUGUCCAGGAAGAGAGAAGACUAAAAGAAACAAGGGAAAUUGGAAGAGGAGGUAAGCAACGGUGGAAAUUUUGAGGAAGAAAUAUAGACUGUGCAAAUCGGGUGGAAACAGAGUGUAGAUAUGUUCGUUUGAGCGGUGUAAAGUACGUGUCAAAAUAAAGUAGGGUUAACAUGUGACUUAUGUCAAAAUAUUUGUAGCUUUCCCAAAACAAGGGAAUCAGUUUGUUAAGUGCUCUUAUAAGUGCUUAUGCAGUCAAGAGUAAUAAGGAAAGGGAUAGAUGAUCACACUGUUUCAGAUCUCUGGAGGAUAUGAAGAAUCCAUGUUUGAUUCCAUUAAUAAGUAUGGAGUACCAGUUAUUAGUUAGGAGUAUUCUGAGAAGUUCAUUUUCCUGUGGAUAGCUAUAAGGAAGCUCCGGGAUAGCUUGUCGUAUGCUUUAGACAAUCAAGCUUAAUAACAAUGUUGCCUCCCUUAUUUCUUUCCCAAUCCUAUGAACAUUUUCCUGGGCUAGGAGGAUAUUUUUAGUGAUGAGUCUGCCUUUCACGAACUUAGUUUAUUUGUCUGAAAUGAGUUUAGGGAGCGGUUGGGAAAUACCGAUAGAGAUAAUCUUGUUGGAGACAUUGCAAAGGCUAAUUUGUCUUAGUUACGCCACAGUAGUGGGGGAAGGUACCUUGCGAAUAAGCACAAGGUUAGUAUGAGUGUAGUAUCAUGUGAGAUUAGUGCCUAGGAAAACAUUCCGAAAAAAGUUGCAAUCUUCCUUUUUGAUAGUGCCCGAGGACGCUUGAAAGAAGUGGCCAUUGAAUACAUCAUGGCAUGUAGCACUAUUUGGGUCAAUAGAGAAAAUAGCACUUCUAAUUUCUUCUACCUCUCAGAUGUCAUAAAUGAGCCUAUUAUUAUCCUCAGUGAAAAGAGGUUCUACUUAUCUGAGAAUAGACAUGUCAUUAUCUCAAGGAGUAAGUGUAAAAAGGUUAUUGAAAUGAUCCACAACUGCAUUUGAGAUGGCUUCAUUGCCCUCGAUCCAUGCUCUAUGCUUAGUUUUAUUCCUCUGUGUGUAGGUGAGACUCCCUUCUUUUUUCCUUUUCUUUAUCACACUGUAUUAAUAUUUGGAGUUGGAACACCUUGUUUUGCCCACUUCAUCCUUGCUUUCUGUUUAAGAAUAGAUUCCUCCAUUUAGAGCCAUUUAAUGCACCUCAUCUAUGUUCCAGUUCCCUAACUAUAGAUACAUAAUCACUCUGUAUGGUCCAAAUGUUUAGGAAUCUCAGAACCUGUCUUAGCUUUAUGAUCAACUUUGUUGACCUGAAAGUGGUUUGUGCCUUCCUCAUUAACCAUAAUCCUAUCUAGCCUCUUGUUGAUUCUUCUCCCUUUUCCCUACCCAUUGCACAGAUUUCCAGUGAAUCCAUUGUCGGACAUGCCACCGUUUUCCAUACAAGCAAUAAAAUCAGUGCUUUUGCUCAGGUUGUAUGGUGUACCUCCUUUUUCAUUAUUUAUCAUAAUGGAUUCCAGACCGGAAAGCAUUUAGUCUGCUCCAGAGCCUACGUCUUUUCACUAAGUGGAUUUAGCAUACACCCAUGUGAUCCAUAGAAGUUUAUUAUCAUAGUUGGCCUUUAGAGUAUGUUGUUGCUUACUGGUGUUAGGCCAAAAUAUUAUACUUUUAGUACAUUACUCACCUUACAUGUUGUUAGUUUAGUAGUUAAUUGUGCGACGUUUGAGCUAAAUUAUGUUUUUUUAUGUGUAAGAGCAUCGGAAGACAAAAACAAGUGAAGGUUGCACAAAAAGAUGACGAAAAUGCAAGAAAAUAACACAAAAAUGCCAAAUACCCAAAUCGCGCUACAGACCAGACUUCGCGAGGUCUAUAGCCAGCUUGACCGCGCUAUAGACCGGGCUUCGCGAGGUCUAUAGCCAGGUUGACCGUGCUAUAAGUCUGGCUUCGCGAGGUAUAUAGUCCGGUAAUUAAAAAUCGCGGGCUAAAAAUCUCCAACCGAGAUUUGGACUCAAGGACUUCAAUCGUAGCCUAUAAAUACUCCCUAAUCAUGUCUAAGAGAAGGGGAGGACAUUUUUAGUGCAAAUUCGACCUAAAGAAGAUGCUUUUGGAGAGAGGAUUCGACUUAAGGAGGCAAGAACACGCUAGGAGCAAGGCGAAGAAUUCUUCUACGAGUUUUUCACUUCCUUCUUCCUAUUUUCAUUAUUGGUUAUGAAUUCUAGUAUUGUACUUUUGCAUACUAUUAUGAAUAGCUAAUUUGUUAUCUAGAGUUUUGAUGGAACUUCUUAUUACGUUUUUUUAUAAUUGACUCGUUGGAUUUCUCUACUUGUUCAACAACGUGUUUAUUGAUGUUGAUUGAAUGACCAUCAGUUGACUGUGCCUAUUUAUUGUGUAUAUUUCGAGAGAGAGAGAGUACACAUUUAGGUAGUCUUUGAACAUCAUUCCUAACGUAUGUGAGAGAUCAAUACGGAGAGUUUAAAGGUGGGAUUAGAGAUAAUGAAACCUUCAUACGAUCGUAGUGAGUGGUGAGUUAGUGUCAACUAGCGUAGUUCAAGAGAAUAUGUCUAGUAAAUUGUGGUAGUUGCUUGAGAGAGAAUUACGACACCCGAAGUACUCCGAUCAGCAGAGAAUACUUAGGUGAAAUUAUAGAAGACGUAGCGGGAAGGAUUCUGACAAUUGAGGAAAUCAUAAUCUAGACCCUCCUUAAUCUAUUCCACAACCCUUAUUAUCUUUAGUUGUUAAUCUACUAGUUUAAUUUAUUGGUUAAUUAGAUACAAGAAUCUUAAUAUUCAUAACUUAGGAAUUGUUCGAGCUUGUCUUGUUAGUGAUAGUCAACAGUUCUAGCUAAAUCUUAGUUCUUUGUGGGAUUCGACUUCGGACUUUUAGACCAAAUUAUAUUUGUAGCGAUCGCUUAUCCAUUUUAGGACUAGAGUUGGGCGUGAUCAC
RNAcentral lists this long non-coding RNA (5505 nucleotides) under Nicotiana tabacum (common tobacco). RNAcentral's name for it is "long non-coding RNA (NTAB_LNC006249)". Lineage: Eukaryota; Viridiplantae; Streptophyta; Magnoliopsida; Solanales; Solanaceae. The record is from RNAcentral.